ACGGGUGAGUAACGCGUGGGCAACCUGCCCUAUACAGGGGGAUAGCAGCUGGAAACGGCUGGUAAGACCGCAUAAGUCGGUUAAAUCGCAUGAUUUGAUCGGGAAAUGAGCAAUCAGGUAUAGGAUGGGCCCGCGUCCGAUUAGCCAGUUGGCAGGGUAAAAGCCUACCAAAGCGACGAUCGGUAGCCGGACUGAGAGGUCGGACGGCCACAUUGGGACUGAGACACGGCCCAAACUCCUACGGGAGGCAGCAGUGGGGGAUAUUGCACAAUGGAGGAAACUCUGAUGCAGCGACGCCGCGUGAGUGAAGAAGUAUUUCGGUAUGUAAAGCUCUAUCAGCAGGGAAGAUGAUGACGGUACCUGACUAAGAAGCCCCGGCUAACUACGUGCCAGCAGCCGCGGUAAUACGUAGGGGGCAAGCGUUAUCCGGAUUUACUGGGUGUAAAGGGAGCGCAGGCGGUUUUGCAAGUUGAGAGUGGAAGCAGGGGGCUCAACCCCCUGACUGCUCCCAAAACUGUAAAACUUGAGUAUGGGAGAGGCAGGCGGAAUUCCUAGUGUAGCGGUGAAAUGCUUAGAUAUUAGGAAGAACACCGGUGGCGAAGGCGGCCUGCUGGACCAAAACUGACGCUGAGGCUCGAAAGCGUGGGUAGCAAACAGGAUUAGAUACCCU
This 670-nucleotide ribosomal RNA is filed under the name uncultured bacterium. Its description in RNAcentral is "bacterial SSU rRNA". It matches the Rfam family "Bacterial small subunit ribosomal RNA", at positions 102 to 788 of the family's 1533-position model. The record is from RNAcentral.